CCAAUCGGGUUUCGGCCCGUAAAUUGGUGACUCUGAAUAACUGUAGCUGAUCGCAUGGUCCAGAACCGGCGACGUGUCUAUCAAGUGUCUGCCUUAUCAACUGUCGAUGGUAGUUUAUGUGCCUACCAUGGUUGUAACGGGUAACGGAGAAUAAGGGUUCGACUCCGGAGAGGGAGCCUGAGAAACGGCUACCACAUCCAAGGAAGGCAGCAGGCGCGCAAAUUACCCACUCUCGGCAUGAGGAGGUAGUGACGAAAAAUAACGAGACCGUUCUCUAUGAGGCCGGUUAUCGGAAUGGGUACAAUUUAAACCCGUUAACGAGGAUCUAUGAGAGGGCAAGUCUGGUGCCAGCAGCCGCGGUAAUUCCAGCUCUCAAAGUGUAUAUCGUCAUUGCUGCGGUUAAAAAGCUCGUAGUUGGAUCUGCGCCUCAGGACUUGGUCCGCCCACUGGGCGAGAACUGGGCUCCUGGGCUAGUUCUGCUGGUUUUCCCUACGUUGCCUUCAUCGGUCGCGUAGGGUGGCUAGCGAGUUUACUUUGAAAAAAUUAGAGUGCUUCACGCGGGCUUAUGUCUGAAUACUCGUGCAUGGAAUAAUAGAAUAGGAUCUCGGUUCUAUUUUGUUGGUUUUCUGAUCUGAGAUAAUGGUUAAGAGGGACGGACGGGGGCAUUCGUAUCGCUGCGUGAGAGGUGAAAUUCUUGGACCGUAGCGAGACGUCCGACUGCGAAAGCAUUUGCCAAGAAUGUCUUCAUUAAUCAAGAACGAAAGUCAGAGGUUCGAAGGCGAUCAGAUACCGCCCUAGUUCUGACCGUAAACGAUACCAACUAGCGUUCCGUCGGCGGUAAAUACGCCUUGACGGGCAGCUUCCCGGAAACGAAAGUCUUUCGGUUCCGGGGGAAGUAUGGUUGCAAAGCUGAAACUUAAAGAAAUUGACGGAAGGGCACCACCAGGAGUGGAGCCUGCGGCUUAAUUUGACUCAACACGGGAAAACUCACCUGGCCCGGACACCGUGAGGAUUGACAGAUUGAGAGCUCUUUCUUGAUUCGGUGGUUGGUGGUGCAUGGCCGUUCUUAGUUGGUGGAGUGAUUUGUCUGGUUUAUUCCGAUAACGAGCGAGACUCUAGCCUACUAAAUAGUCAUCGGAUAAACAAGUGCGGAAGACUUCUUAGAGGGACAAGCGGUGUUCAGCCGCAUGAAGUUGAGCAAUAACAGGUCUGUGAUGCCCUUAGAUGUCCAGGGCUGCACGCGCGCUACACUGGAGGAAUCAGCGUGCUGUAACC
Molecule: ribosomal RNA, 1275 nt
Filed under: Toxocara cati (cat roundworm)
Lineage: Eukaryota; Metazoa; Nematoda; Chromadorea; Rhabditida; Toxocaridae
Description: SSU rRNA
Rfam family: Eukaryotic small subunit ribosomal RNA
Source: RNAcentral